This 656-nucleotide long non-coding RNA is filed under the name Malus domestica (apple). RNAcentral's name for it is "long non-coding RNA (MDOM_LNC000206)". The record is from RNAcentral. Lineage: Eukaryota; Viridiplantae; Streptophyta; Magnoliopsida; Rosales; Rosaceae.
ACGGCACAAGGUGUUGGUGAGUGUUUGAAGGUUUGUUUGUAUGGAGGAAUGGAUGUGAAGAUGAAUGGAUGCGUUUGGAUGAAUGUUGUGUUGAAAUGGGAGUGAAUGAUCUAACCAAGUACGAACUCAAUUUAUGUUACACACACUUCUUUUUAUAGAGGAAGUGCAAGGCAAAGCAUGGGUAAAAUGGAGUGGUGUUGAAAUGAUUCAAAGGUGAAAGUGAAGUAAUGAUGCAAAGCAUGGGUAAAAUGGAGUGGUGUUGAAAUGAUUUAAGGGUGUUGAAAUGAUUUAAGGGUGAAAGUGAAGUCAUGAUGCAAAGCAUGGGUAAAAUGAAGUGGUGUUGAAAUGAUUUAAGGGUGAAAGUGAAGUGAUGAUUGAUGCAAGAAUUAAACAUGGAUGGAGUGCACGGCAAAGGUUUGUUAUGGUACAAGGAACCUUUAAUUUGUGUCCUAAAAUACAUAGGAAACCUUCAAUGUUGCUGGAACUUAAGGACAUUUAGGAUUUAGGAAAGAUCAAACCAAAAUAGGAAAUCUUGGCUUAACUUUCCUAUUUCAAGUAGGAAUCCUCAUCUUUAGGUCUUCAAUUUCGUCCAUUCUUUUAGUUCCAAGCAUGUGAUAUUUAUUCCAAGCCCAAAAUUGCUCCAAAAGGCUCCAAAA